ACUUAUCGGGUUUUAUUUUUUUGUUUAUCUCUAUUUUUUUCCGGGACUGCUCUUUUGAGUUUUCAGCCCACCGGGAUGCACUAUUUUUUUUCCUAAGCCUCCCUUUGGGGUUUUUGAAUUAGCGGGCUUUUUUAUCCUCUUUUUCUAUGCAUACUAUUUCUUGACUGCUUCGGAGUUCAAAAUAGUGGAAACUCCUCUCCAUCCAUGGUUGUAAUGAUCCAGGUUCCACCAGAGAAGGCCUUCUUC
This 246-nucleotide long non-coding RNA is filed under the name Lathyrus oleraceus (garden pea). RNAcentral describes it as "Pisum sativum (pea) long non-coding RNA (PSAT_LNC015097)". Lineage: Eukaryota; Viridiplantae; Streptophyta; Magnoliopsida; Fabales; Fabaceae. The record is from RNAcentral.